GUGAUGGUUAUGGCAUAUUGAGCAAAUUAGUCGACUGUAUAUCGAUAGUAGGCACGACCAUUAGUUGAUGAUUUUGCUGUAUUGUCGAUCACCGACCAUAAGUCGAUGACAUCUGUUCAAUCGAUUGAUGAAGAGUCGAAGUCGUCAGUUCGGUCGAUGUUCUGUCGAAGUUGUGCAUUCGGUCAGUCAGCUAUAUUCGGAUCGGAGUUGAUG
Molecule: long non-coding RNA, 213 nt
Filed under: Elaeis guineensis (African oil palm)
Lineage: Eukaryota; Viridiplantae; Streptophyta; Magnoliopsida; Arecales; Arecaceae
Description: long non-coding RNA (EGUI_LNC015472)
Source: RNAcentral